Molecule: ribosomal RNA, 460 nt
Filed under: uncultured bacterium
Lineage: Bacteria
Description: partial 16S ribosomal RNA
Rfam family: Bacterial small subunit ribosomal RNA
Source: RNAcentral
CCUACGGGUGGCAGCAGUGAGGAAUAUUGGUCAAUGGACGUGAGCCUGAACCAGCCAAGUCGCGUGAAGGAUGACUGUCCUAUGGGUCGUAAACCUCUUUUAUAAGGGAAUAAAGUGUGGCACGUGUGCGGUUUUGUAUGUACCUUAUGAAUAAGGAUCGGCUAACUCCGUGCCAGCAGCCGCGGUAAUACGGAGGAUCCGAGCGUUAUCCGGAUUUACUGGGUGUAAAGGGCGUGUAGUCGGGUUGUUAAGUCAGUUGUGAAAUCCUGCGGCUCAACCCUAGAAGUGCAGUUGAAACUGGUAGUCUUGAGUACAGGAGAGGUAGGCGGAAUUCCUAGUGUAGCGGUGAAAUGCGUAGAUAUUACGAGGAACUCCAGUGGCGAAGGCAGCUCGCUGGACUACAACUGACAGUGAGGCGCGAAAGCGUGGGGAGCAAACAGGAUUAGAUACCCCUGUAGUC